GUUUAUGAAUUAAUGGUUUUGAAAACCAUCAAAGAUACUGGGUUUAUCCAUAAAUA
This 56-nucleotide transfer RNA is filed under the name Ryssota otaheitana. RNAcentral describes it as "tRNA-Ser". The record is from RNAcentral. Lineage: Eukaryota; Metazoa; Mollusca; Gastropoda; Stylommatophora; Chronidae.